UGGGGAAUUUUGGACAAUGGGGGCAACCCUGAUCCAGCAACGCCGCGUGAAUGAAGAAGGCCUUAGGGUUGUAAAGUUCUUUUACAUGGGAGCAAGUUUAGUAGGUUAAGAGCUGAUUAAAUUGAGAGUACCAUGAGAAUAAGCACCGGCUAACUACGUGCCAGCAGCCGCGGUAAUACGUAGGGUGCGAGCGUUAAUCGGAAUUACUGGGCGUAAAGGGUGAGUAGGCGGAUGUACAAGUUAGAUGUG
Molecule: ribosomal RNA, 249 nt
Filed under: uncultured Candidatus Procaibacteraceae bacterium
Lineage: Bacteria; Pseudomonadati; Pseudomonadota; Betaproteobacteria; Candidatus Procabacteriales; Candidatus Procabacteriaceae
Description: uncultured Procabacteriaceae bacterium partial 16S ribosomal RNA
Rfam family: Bacterial small subunit ribosomal RNA
Source: RNAcentral